GGUGGGUGAGAACUGAUGAGGGACACACGCGUGUGUGGACUUGUGGUGAUCCUAAGCUGCCGAGAAAAGCCUCGACGUGAGGGCAUAACGCGCCCGUACCCUAAACCGACUCAGGUGGUCAGGUAGAGUAUACCGAGGCGUUCGAGUGAAUCGUGGUUAAGGAACUCGGCAAAAUUCCUCCGUAACUUCGGGAUAAGGAGGACCCCGUGACUUCCCAGUGUCUUGCAUGCUGGUGGGGAUGUGGGGUCGCAGAGAAUAGGGAGAAGCGACUGUUUAUCAAAAACACAGGUGCGUGCGAAGCCGUAAGGCGAUGUAUACGCACUGACGCCUGCCCGGUGCUGGAAGGUUAAGAGGAACCGUCAACACCCCCCGGGGUGUGAAGCGGUGAAUUUAAGCCCCAGUAAACGGCGGUGGUAACUAUAACCAUCCUAAGGUAGCGAAAUUCCUUGUCGGGUAAGUUCCGACCUGCACGAAUGGCGUAACGACUUCUCCGCUGUCUCAACCGCGAACUCGGUGAAAUUGCAGUACGAGUAAAGAUGCUCGUUUCGCGCAGAAGGACGGAAAGACCCCGGGACCUUUACUAUAGCUUGGUAUUGGUGUUCGCUUGGACUUGUGUAGGAUAGGUGGGAGACUGUGAAGCUGCCGCGCCAGCGGUGGUGGAGUCGUCGUUGAAAUACCAUUCUGGUUCAAGCGGUCACCUCAACCUAGACCCGUGAUCCGGGUUGGGGACAGUGCCUGGUGGGUAGUUUAACUGGGGCGGUUGCCUCCUAAAAUGUAACGGAGGCGCUCAAAGGUUCCCUCAGCCUGGUUGGUAAUCAGGUGGCGAGUGCAAGUGUACAAGGGAGCUUGACUGUGAGACCGACGGGUCGAGCAGGUGCGAAAGCAGGAACUAGUGAUCCGGCCAUGGCACGUGGGUGCGUGGUCGCUCAACGGAUAAAAGGUACCCCGGGGAUAACAGGCUGAUCUUGCCCAAGAGUCCAUAUCGACGGCAUGGUUUGGCACCUCGAUGUCGGCUCGUCGCAUCCUGGGGCUGGAGUUGGUCCCAAGGGUUGGGCUGUUCGCCCAUUAAAGCGGUACGCGAGCUGGGUUCAGAACGUCGUGAGACAGUUCGGUCCCUAUCCUCUGUGCGCGCAGGAAACUUGAGAAGGGCCGUCCCUAGUACGAGAGGACCGGGAUGGACGAACCUCUGGUGUGCCAGUUGUACCGCCAGGUGCAUGGCUGGUUGGCUACGUUCGGAAGGGAUAACCGCUGAAAGCAUCUAAGCGGGAAGCCUGCUCCAAGAUGAGGUUUCCACGCCCCCUCGUGGGGUGAGAGGCCCCCGCCAGACUAGCGGGUUGAUAGGCCAGAGGUGGAAGCACAGCAAUGUGCUCGUGAGCCGACUGGUACUAAUGGGCCAACACU
RNAcentral lists this ribosomal RNA (1401 nucleotides) under metagenome. RNAcentral's name for it is "bacterial LSU rRNA". It matches the Rfam family "Bacterial large subunit ribosomal RNA", at positions 1551 to 2925 of the family's 2925-position model. The record is from RNAcentral.